UUUUUCUUUGUGGAAGUGGGUCAGCGGUGGGUCCGGGUCCGGGAUCGGGAUCGGGAUCGGGAUCGAGAUCGGGAUCGAGAGGGGGUCCUCGCCCCCUUGGACAGGGAGCCGGAGACGGAUUAUUCUCUGCGGGGCAACACCAACAAUUUCCCUUCAACCUGCGGUGAGAGGUUUAUUGGAAGAAAAACCCCAACUGGAAGCAAACCAUGGCUAAAGAUGUGGGAAUAGCAACAAGUGAACUGGCCCGAGGACUGAGAGCAUCAACUGGAGAGAACAACACUGAAUCAGCUGACUUGGAGUUCCCAGUGAGUCAGUGAGGAGGAAGUUUGUUAGACCUGCGGUGAGAGGUUUCUUGGAAGAAAAACCCCAACUAGAAGCAAACCACGGCUAAGACAAGGGAACAGCAACAAGUGAACCAGCCCGAGGACUGAGAGCACCGACUGGAGAGGACCCAUCUGACUCAGGGUUUCCAUUGAUUCAGUCAGGAGAAAGUCUGG
Long non-coding RNA from Hypanus sabinus (Atlantic stingray), 497 nucleotides. RefSeq lists it as uncharacterized. The transcript has 3 exons. The record is from RefSeq and is a predicted model, not a curated record. Lineage: Eukaryota; Metazoa; Chordata; Chondrichthyes; Myliobatiformes; Dasyatidae.